UGGGGAAUAUUGGACAAUGGGCGAAAGCCUGAUCCAGCCAUGCCGCGUGUGUGAAGAAGGUCUUCGGAUUGUAAAGCACUUUAAGUUGGGAGGAAGGGCAGUAAGUUAAUACCUUGCUGCUUUGACGUUACCGACAGAAUAAGCACCGGCUAACUCUGUGCCAGCAGCCGCGGUAAUACAGAAGGUGCAAGCGUUAAUCGGAAUUACUGGGCGUAAAGCGCGCGUAGGUGGUUUGUUAAGUUGGAUGUGAAAGCCCCGGGCUCAACCUGGGAACUGCAUCCAAAACUGGCAAGCUAGAGUACGGUAGAGGGUGGUGGAAUUUCCUGUGUAGCGGUGAAAUGCGUAGAUAUAGGAAGGAACACCAGUGGCGAAGGCGACCACCUGGACUGAUACUGACACUGAGGUGCGAAAGCGUGGGGAGCAAACA
This 427-nucleotide ribosomal RNA is filed under the name uncultured bacterium. RNAcentral's name for it is "partial 16S ribosomal RNA". It matches the Rfam family "Bacterial small subunit ribosomal RNA", at positions 355 to 774 of the family's 1533-position model. The record is from RNAcentral.